GCCCCUGUCGUCUAGAGGCCCAGGACACCGCCCUUUCAAGGCAGCAACACGGGUUCGAAUCCCGUCGGGGGCG
Molecule: transfer RNA, 73 nt
Filed under: Acidobacteriota bacterium
Lineage: Bacteria; Pseudomonadati; Acidobacteriota
Also listed under: 3 other names
Description: tRNA-Glu
Rfam family: tRNA
About the family: Transfer RNA (tRNA) molecules are approximately 80 nucleotides in length. Their secondary structure includes four short double-helical elements and three loops (D, anti-codon, and T loops).
Source: RNAcentral